GGGGUUGUGGCUCAGUGGUAGAGCGCUUGCUUUGUAUGUGUGGGGUACUGGGUUCAAUCCUCAGCACCA
Molecule: transfer RNA, 69 nt
Filed under: Urocitellus parryii (Arctic ground squirrel)
Lineage: Eukaryota; Metazoa; Chordata; Mammalia; Rodentia; Sciuridae
Also listed under: 1 other name
Description: Spermophilus parryii (Arctic ground squirrel) tRNA
Rfam family: tRNA
About the family: Transfer RNA (tRNA) molecules are approximately 80 nucleotides in length. Their secondary structure includes four short double-helical elements and three loops (D, anti-codon, and T loops).
Source: Rfam by way of RNAcentral